CCUGCCCAGUGACUAAUUGUUCAACGGCCGCGGUAUCCUGACCGUGCAAAGGUAGCAUAAUCAUUUGCCUUUUAAUUGGAGGCUAGUAUGAAUGGGUAGACGAAGAUUUAGCUGUUUCUAUAUUAAAAAUAUAACUUAAACUUUAGGUGAAGAUGCCUAAAUUUUAUAGAAAGACAAGAAGACCCUAUAGAGUUUGCUUUGGUUGGGGCGACCUAGGAUCUAAUUAAACAUCCUUCUAUACUGAUAUAUUUAUCUAAAUAAUUGAACCUAAAUGGAUUAUCAAAAUUAACUACCUUAGGGAUAACAGGCUUAUCUUCCUAGAGAGCUCUUAUUGAUAGGAUGGUUUGGCACCUCGAUGUUGGCUUAGAGUAACUUAAUAUCGCAGCAGAUAUUUGUAGUCAGUUUGUUCAACUGUUAAUUCUCU
This 424-nucleotide ribosomal RNA is filed under the name Gorgoniapolynoe caeciliae. Its description in RNAcentral is "partial 16S ribosomal RNA". It matches the Rfam family "Bacterial large subunit ribosomal RNA", at positions 1858 to 2597 of the family's 2925-position model. The record is from RNAcentral. Lineage: Eukaryota; Metazoa; Annelida; Polychaeta; Phyllodocida; Polynoidae.